CUAAAUACGGGCGAGAGACC
Molecule: non-coding RNA, 20 nt
Filed under: Arabidopsis thaliana (thale cress)
Lineage: Eukaryota; Viridiplantae; Streptophyta; Magnoliopsida; Brassicales; Brassicaceae
Source: RNAcentral